This 254-nucleotide unclassified non-coding RNA is filed under the name uncultured fungus. Its description in RNAcentral is "partial contains 5.8S ribosomal RNA, internal transcribed spacer 2, and large subunit ribosomal RNA". The record is from RNAcentral. Lineage: Eukaryota; Fungi.
AACGCACAUUGCGCCUGCCAGUACUCUGGCAGGCAUGCCUGUCCGAGCGUCAUAUCACCCCUCAGGAGGCCCUGGCUGCCGCCUGGUGUUGGGGCCCCUACGCGCCGCCGUAGGCCCCGAAAUCCGUCGGCGAGCCCGCCGGAGCUCCCCAGCGCAGUGAUCCACCGCCGCUGAGGGCGCCCGGGAGGUGCUCUGCCCCCCCCCGAUAUCGACUGUUUGACCUCGGAUCAGGUAGGACUACCCGCUGAACUUAA